Gavialis gangeticus (Gharial) is the source of this 164-nucleotide long non-coding RNA. RefSeq lists it as uncharacterized. The transcript is spliced from 3 exons. The record is from RefSeq and is a predicted model, not a curated record. Lineage: Eukaryota; Metazoa; Chordata; Crocodylia; Gavialidae.
UUCUUGGAUCUGCCUGGCAACAAAAACCAUGUCCGCAGUGCCCCAGGAUGGUCAGAAUCCGCACUGGGUUUCUGGAAGGAUCUCCUCAGUGAUGGGAUGAAGACAGUUCAGGAGGAUGCUGGCCAGAAUCUUACCUGCAAUGGACAGGAGGAAAAUCCCCCUGU